AUAUACAUACAUACACACACACCACCUCUUUUUUAUUCAUUCAUCAGUCUAUGGACAAUUGGGCUCUCUCCAUAGUUUGGCUAUUGUUGAUUAAUGCUGCUAUAAACAUCGGGGUGCAUGUACCCCUUUGAAUCUGUAUUUUUGUAUCCUUUGGGUAAAUACCUAAUAGUGCAAUUGCUGGAUCAUAGGGUAGUUCUAUUUUUAAUUUUUUAUGCAUUAUGCAUAUGCAUAUGCAUUAUGCAUAUGUUUGAAUACUUGAUGUCCCACAGGUCUCUGAGGCUCUGUUCAACAUUUUUCAUUGUUUUCUUUCUGUUCUUCAGACUGGAUAAAUUCAGUUGACCUGUUCUGUCUUCAGUGAAGUUUGUUCAUUAUUUCUUCUGCCACAUCAAAUCUGAUCUUGUGCCCUUCUAAUGAAUUUCUAAUUUCUGGUUAUUGUACUUUUCAACUCCAGAAUAUCUUUUUGUUUUUUUUAAAUAAUUUUUAUCUCUUUAUUGAUAUUGUCUACAUAGUAAGACAUUGUCCUAUUACUUUCCUUUAGUUCUUUAGACGUGGUUACCCUUUAGUUUGAACAUAUUUAAAAUAGCUGAUUUAAAGUCUUUUGUCUAGCAAGUCUAGUAUCUGCACUUCCUUAGGGACAAUUUGUAUCAAUUGUUUUUGUCCUCCAUUGUGUCAGAUACUAUUCCUUGUUUCUUUGCUUGUCUCAUAAUUUUUGUUGAAAAUUAGACAUUUUAAAUAAUAUUACUUGGCAGCUUUCAGAGUCUCCCCUCCCCAGUGUUUGUUGUUAUCGCUGUCAUUGUUAUGUUGUUUAGUGAGUUUUCUAAACUGAUUGCGUAAAGUCUGUAUUCUUUAUCAUGUGUGGCCACUGAAAUCUCUACUCAGUAGGCUAGUCAGCUAAUGAUUUACCAGAUUUCCUCAAAUGCUUGGAGUUAAUAAGUCUCCUGGUCUGUGCCCAGGUGCUCUCUGUGCAUUGGUGGCACACACCUUCAACACUCAGAUGUGCUGUUGAGAACUCUGCCUUAGUCUUUACUUCUGCAUGUACAGAGCUUCAAGGUCAGCUGAGAAUAAGAGCUUAGGGUCUUCUUAGGUCUUUCCUGAGCAUGUGCAUGUCCCUGGGCAUGUAUGUGGCUUUCUAGAUUCCUAGGAAUACGUUGAAGCUUUCAAAGUUCCUAUGGGCAUUAUGAGAUUUUCCUUUUUUAGCUUUUAAAUUAGCCUCUUGCUUGCUCCAACUGUUAUUCACCACCUCAGGUGGCUGCGAAGUUAAUAACUUUCCUCUAAUUCUUUUCCAAGCAUGUCCCCUGGGGAAAGGCUGUUUGUACUGUGGAAGCUCCAAGCUAGCUUAAAGACAGUAGAGUCUUCCAAGGAACCAUCAGACAGGGAUUAGUAUCAUUCAAGGAUGUGUCAGUCAGUUUCACCCAGGUGGAGUGGCAGUGGCUGGACUCAGCUCAGAAGAUCCUGUGCAGGGACGUGAUGCUGGAGAACUACAGCAAACUGGUUGCAGUGGGGUGUCUUACAAUCAAACCAGAUGUGAUCUCCCAGUUGGAGCAAGGAGAAGAACCAUGGAUAAUAGAGGUGAUGUUCUCAAGCCAGAGUCUUCCAGGUGAGUUAUUGUGUACCCAAGAGAUGGAAGCUACUGGAAAUCAGAUCUUAAAGUGGACAGUUGGUUACUUGGUACCUGUAAUAUUUUCCUAUGGCCGUUGUAAUGGAAUACCACAAACUGGGUUACUUAAAACAACAGAAAUGUAUUCUCUCACUUCUGGAGGCUAGAAGUACAAAAUCAGGAUGUCAGCAGGGCCAUACUUUCUCCAAAGCCUCUAGGGGAAAAUCCUUCCUACCUCUUCCUAACUUCUGGUGGUUGCUGGCAAUCCUUGGCAUUCCUUGACUUACAGCUGACUCUAAUCCCUGUUUCUGUUAUCAUCUAGCCUUCCCUCUUUGUGUCCUCCCCUAAUUUAGGGCCCACCCUAAUCUAACAUGACCUCAUCCUAACUAAUUAUAUCUACCAAGACCCUAGUUCCAUAUAUCACAUUCUGAGGUUCUGGGUGGAUAUGAACUUUAGGGACAUUAUUCAGACUACUGUGAGAUCUCUGAAACAUUUUUGGAAAUCUCAUUUUAGAGACUUCAUACCUUCACAAAUAUUGAAGGAUGUCUGACCACCAUUCCCAAGAUGUUUAAAUUAACAUUUUGUAAUAUCACCUUCCUCUUAGAAUGUGCUCAUUCUCUACUUGAUGUUUAUAGAGACACUUUGCACUCUGACAUUACCCAAAUCUAAUUUCUAGUUACUGUAUUUUCAAUAUUUAUUUCUUCAUUAUUCUUCAGUUGCCCAAUUUCUUCCUAUUUUUAUAUACUCCUUUUGAUUUUCAUCAAUUUUGGAUAUAGCCUCUUUUUUUAAGUUUUUUUUAAGUUUUUCAGAUCAUGACGUGAGCUGAAGUUGGAUGCUCAACCGACUGAGCCACCCAGGUGCCCCAAGUUUUUUUAAAUGUUUAUUUAUUUUUGAAAGAGACAGAGAGAGUAUGAGCGGGGGAGGGGCAGAGAGAGAAGGAGACACAGAAUCCAAAGCAGGCUCCAGGCUCUGAGCUGUCAGCACAGAACCUGGUGUGGGGCUCGAACCCACAAACUGUGAGAUCAUGACUUGAGCUGAAGUUGGACGCUUAACCAACUGAGCCACCCAGGCACCCCAGUUUCUUUAGGAAUAGCUAAACAUCUAGUGAUUUAAACAUCUGUGCUCCAUCACGUAACUCUACUCCUUCCUUCUAUCCUUUCAUGGUGAAGUGCCUCAUGUUUUUCUGUGUUCAGACUCACUAUCCAUUUUCUCUUUUGUCCCUGCUGCUAAGAUUUCAUAGCCAUUGGGUUUUUGGCCCAGAAUGAUAAUUGCCUGUGUACCUUUGUGCUUUAUUUGGUAGUGCUCAAUAUUCCCUCUAUAAUACACCUAAACUUGUUUUUGGUAAGUAGAACUAAUUUGGUCACAUUCACC
Molecule: RNA transcript, 2968 nt
Organism: Acinonyx jubatus (cheetah)
Lineage: Eukaryota; Metazoa; Chordata; Mammalia; Carnivora; Felidae
Gene name: zinc finger protein 12-like
Exons: 3
Source: RefSeq, a predicted model, not a curated record